This is a non-coding RNA of Pelobates cultripes (western spadefoot toad), 285 nucleotides long. The record is from the annotation of a GenBank genome assembly. Lineage: Eukaryota; Metazoa; Chordata; Amphibia; Anura; Pelobatidae.
CAGAAUAUUGUAGUAUAGGUACUGUGGUGCGAUUUAUGUAGAGUAUAUGUCAGCUGGCUCAGAGAUGAAUUGGUCGGUUGACCCCGGUGUGCUGGGACCGUACUCUUAUGAGUAGUGUGUGGGUUGUAGGUGGUUGAGUCGUGUACCUCUGUGUGUAUGUAAGGUAGAGCCUUAAGCCAUGUUGUUAGCUCCGGUAUGCUGUUCUUAAUAGAGGGUGAAUACAUGGUUCUUGUUGUAGUAAGCGUGGUGUGUGGUUAGGUUGGUUGAUGUGCGUCUGAAUGUAUG